This 253-nucleotide ribosomal RNA is filed under the name uncultured bacterium. Its description in RNAcentral is "partial 16S ribosomal RNA". It matches the Rfam family "Bacterial small subunit ribosomal RNA", at positions 524 to 776 of the family's 1533-position model. The record is from RNAcentral.
UACGAAGGGGGCUAGCGUUGCUCGGAAUCACUGGGCGUAAAGCGCACGUAGGCGGCUUACUAAGUCAGGGGUGAAAUCCUGGAGCUCAACUCCAGAACUGCCUUUGAUACUGGUGAGCUUGAGUCCGGAAGAGGUGAGUGGAACUGCGAGUGUAGAGGUGAAAUUCGUAGAUAUUAGGAAGAACACCAGUGGCGAAGGCGGCUCACUGGAUCGGUACUGACGCUGAGGUGCGAAAGCGUGGGGAGCAAACAGG